CACUCUUGACAAAACAUAUCUCGACUCCCACGUUGAAAAAAAAAAACAUAGCAAAAUGUGAUACUUGAUUUGAAAUGCAAAAUCUUAUGGACUAUGGAAUCUUUGAAUGCAAGUUACUCCUAAAACUUAAAUCGAAGGCACUCUGUCUUAGAUAUC
RNAcentral lists this ribosomal RNA (156 nucleotides) under Solanum tuberosum (potato). Its description in RNAcentral is "5.8S ribosomal RNA". It matches the Rfam family "5.8S ribosomal RNA". From Rfam's summary of the family: 5.8S ribosomal RNA (5.8S rRNA) is a component of the large subunit of the eukaryotic ribosome. It is transcribed by RNA polymerase I as part of the 45S precursor that also contains 18S and 28S rRNA. Functionally, it is thought that 5.8S rRNA may be involved in ribosome translocation. The record is from Rfam by way of RNAcentral. Lineage: Eukaryota; Viridiplantae; Streptophyta; Magnoliopsida; Solanales; Solanaceae.